UGUAGGAGUGAGCCUGCUCGCGAUGGCGUUCUGUCAUCCACAUUGAUGUCGAAUGUGCCGCCGUCAUCGCGAGCAGGCUCACUCCUACA
This 89-nucleotide unclassified non-coding RNA is filed under the name Pseudomonas koreensis. The record is from RNAcentral. Lineage: Bacteria; Pseudomonadati; Pseudomonadota; Gammaproteobacteria; Pseudomonadales; Pseudomonadaceae.